CGGCGUGCUUAACACUUGCAAGUCGAACGGAAAGGCCCUGCUUUUGUGGGGUGCUCGAGUGGCGAACGGGUGAGUAACACGUGAGUAACCUGCCCUUGACUUUGGGAUAACUUCAGGAAACUGGGGCUAAUACCGGAUAGGAGCUCCUGCUGCAUGGUGGGGGUUGGAAAGUUUCGGCGGUUGGGGAUGGACUCGCGGCUUAUCAGCUUGUUGGUGGGGUAGUGGCUUACCAAGGCUUUGACGGGUAGCCGGCCUGAGAGGGUGACCGGCCACAUUGGGACUGAGAUACGGCCCAGACUCCUACGGGAGGCAGCAGUGGGGAAUAUUGCACAAUGGGCGGAAGCCUGAUGCAGCAACGCCGCGUGCGGGAUGACGGCCUUCGGGUUGUAAACCGCUUUCGCCUGUGACGAAGCGUGAGUGACGGUAAUGGGUAAAGAAGCACCGGCUAACUACGUGCCAGCAGCCGCGGUGAUACGUAGGGUGCGAGCGUUGUCCGGAUUUAUUGGGCGUAAAGGGCUCGUAGGUGGUUGAUCGCGUCGGAAGUGUAAUCUUGGGGCUUAACCCUGAGCGUGCUUUCGAUACGGGUUGACUUGAGGAAGGUAGGGGAGAAUGGAAUUCCUGGUGGAGCGGUGGAAUGCGCAGAUAUCAGGAGGAACACCAGUGGCGAAGGCGGUUCCUUCUGGGCCUUUCCUGACGCUGAGGAGCGAAAGCGUGGGGAGCGAACAGGCUUAGAUACCCUAGUAGUCCACGCUGUAAACGGUGGGUACUAGGUGUGGGGUCCAUUCCACGGGUUCCGUGCCGUAGCUAACGCUUUAAGUACCCCGCCUGGGGAGUACGGCCGCAAGGCUAAAACUCAAAGGAAUUGACGGGGCCCCGCACAAGCGGCGGAGCAUGCGGAUUAAUUCGAUGCAACGCGUAGAACCUUACCUGGGUUUGACAUGGAUCGGGAGUGCUCAGAGAUGGGUGUGCCUCUUUUGGGGUCGGUUCACAGGUGGUGCAUGGCUGUCGUCAGCUCGUGUCGUGAGAUGUUGGGUUAAGUCCCGCAGCGAGCGCAACCCUUGUUCACUGUUGCCAGCACGUUAUGGUGGGGACUCAGUGGAGACCGCCGGGGUCAACUCGGAGGAAGGUGGGGAUGACGUCAAGUCAUCAUGCCCCUUAUGUCCAGGGCUUCACGCAUGCUACAAUGGCUGGUACAGAGAGUGGCGAGCCUGUGAGGGUGAGCGAAUCUCGGAAAGCCGGUCUCAGUUCGGAUUGGGGUCUGCAACUCGACCUCAUGAAGUCGGAGUCGCUAGUAAUCGCAGAUCAGCAACGCUGCGGUGAAUACGUUCCCGGGGCUUGUACACACCGCCCGUCAAGUCAUGAAAGUUGGUAACACCCGAAGCCGGUGGCCUAACCGUUGUGGGGGAGCCGUCGAAGGUGGGACUGGUGAUUAGG
Molecule: ribosomal RNA, 1434 nt
Filed under: uncultured organism
Description: 16S ribosomal RNA
Rfam family: Bacterial small subunit ribosomal RNA
Source: RNAcentral